AACGUAGGACGCAAGCGUUAUCCGGAUUUACUGGGCGUAAAGGGCAGGCAGGCGGGUUGAUAAGUCGGAUGUGAAAUCUCCCUGGCUUAACCGGGAGAGUGCAUUUGAGACUGUCAACCUGGAGGGCAGCAGAGGAGCGUGGAAUUCCGGGUGGAGUGGUGAAAUGCGUAGAGAUCCGGAGGAACACCAGAGGCGAAAGCGGCGCUCUGGGCUGCACCUGACGCUGAACUGCGAAAGCCAGGGGAGCGAACGGG
This 254-nucleotide ribosomal RNA is filed under the name uncultured bacterium. Its description in RNAcentral is "partial 16S ribosomal RNA". It matches the Rfam family "Bacterial small subunit ribosomal RNA", at positions 524 to 776 of the family's 1533-position model. The record is from RNAcentral.